GUGUCAGCCGCCGCGGUAAUACCGGUGGCUCGAGUGGUGGCCGCUAUUACUGGGCUUAAAGGGUCCGUAGCUUGAUAACUGGGUCCCUUGAGAAAUCCGCUGGCUUAACUUGCGGGCGUUCAGGGGAAACUUGUUUUCUUGGGACCAGGAGAGGUGAGGGGCCCUGCCGGGGUAGGAGUGAAAUCCUGUAAUCCCGGUGGGACCACCUAUGGCGAAGGCAUCUCACCAGAACGGGUCCGACAGUGAGGGACGAAAGCUGGGGGAGCAAACCGGAUUAGAUACCCGGGUAGUCCCAGCUGUAAACGAUGUGCGUUAGGUGUGUCAGUGACCACGUGUCACUGAGGUGCCGAAGGGAAACCGUGAAACGCACCGCCUGGGGAGUACGGUCGCAAGGCUGAAACUUAAAAGAAUUGGCGG
RNAcentral lists this ribosomal RNA (417 nucleotides) under uncultured bacterium. RNAcentral's name for it is "bacterial SSU rRNA". It matches the Rfam family "Archaeal small subunit ribosomal RNA", at positions 455 to 871 of the family's 1478-position model. The record is from RNAcentral.